AGAGUUUGAUCCUGGCUCAGAUUGAACGCUGGCGGCAUGCCUUACACAUGCAAGUCGAGCGGCAGCGCGGGGGCAACCCUGGCGGCGAGCGGCGAACGGGUGAGUAAUGCAUCGGAACGUGUCCUUUUGUGGGGGAUAACCAGUCGAAAGACUGGCUAAUACCGCAUGAGCUCGAGAGAGGAAAGCAGGGGACCGCAAGGCCUUGCGCGAGAGGAGCGGCCGAUGCCGGAUUAGCUAGUUGGUGGGGUAAAAGCCUACCAAGGCGACGAUCCGUAGCUGGUAUGAGAGUACGACCAGCCACACUGGGACUGAGACACGGCCCAGACUCCUACGGGAGGCAGCAGUGGGGAAUUUUGGACAAUGGGGGAAACCCUGAUCCAGCCAUGCCGCGUGUGUGAAGAAGGCCUUCGGGUUGUAAAGCACUUUCGGACGGAACGAAAUCGCGUUGUCUAAUAACCAGCGUGGAUGACGGUACCGUAAGAAGAAGCACCGGCUAACUACGUGCCAGCAGCCGCGGUAAUACGUAGGGUGCGAGCGUUAAUCGGAAUUACUGGGCGUAAAGUGUGCGCAGGCGGCGUCNCAAGUCGAGUGUGAAAUCCCCGGGCUUAACUUGGGAAUUGCGCUCGAAACUACGGUGCUGGAGUGUGGCAGAGGAAGGUGGAAUUCCACGUGUAGCGGUGAAAUGCGUA
Molecule: ribosomal RNA, 689 nt
Filed under: uncultured bacterium
Lineage: Bacteria
Description: bacterial SSU rRNA
Rfam family: Bacterial small subunit ribosomal RNA
Source: RNAcentral